CCGUGAAGGAUUAAGGCCCUCUGGGUUGUAAACUUCUUUUCUUUGGGAAUAAAAAGCGGUAUUCUUAUCGCCUUGAAGGUACCAGAGGAAUAAGCACCGGCUAACUCCGUGC
This 112-nucleotide ribosomal RNA is filed under the name uncultured bacterium. RNAcentral describes it as "partial 16S ribosomal RNA". It matches the Rfam family "Bacterial small subunit ribosomal RNA", at positions 399 to 508 of the family's 1533-position model. The record is from RNAcentral.